Molecule: ribosomal RNA, 442 nt
Filed under: uncultured bacterium
Lineage: Bacteria
Description: partial 16S ribosomal RNA
Rfam family: Bacterial small subunit ribosomal RNA
Source: RNAcentral
CCUACGGGAGGCAGCAGUGGGGAAUAUUGGGCAAUGGGCGAAAGCCUGACCCAGCAACGCCGCGUGAAGGAAGAAGGCUUUCGGGUUGUAAACUUCUUUUGACAGGGAAGAGCAGAAGACGGUACCUGUCGAAUAAGCCACGGCUAACUACGUGCCAGCAGCCGCGGUAAUACGUAGGUGGCAAGCGUUGUCCGGAUUUACUGGGGGUAAAGGGCGUGUAGCCAGGCUGACAAGUCAGAUGUGAAAUCCGGGGGCUCAACCCCCGAACUGCAUUUGAAACUGUUGGUCUUGAGUAUCGGAGAGGCAGGCGGAAUUCCUAGUGUAGCGGUGAAAUGCGUAGAUAUUAGGAGGAACACCAGUGGCGAAGGCGGCCUGCUGGACGACAACUGACGGUGAGGCGCGAAAGCGUGGGGAGCAAACAGGAUUAGAUACCCUUGUAGUC